GACGAACGCUGGCGGCGUGCUUAACACAUGCAAGUCGAACGGAAAGACCCGGCGUUUGCUGGGUGCUCGAUUGGCGAACGGGUGAGUAACACAUGAGUAACCUGCCCUUGUCUUUGGGAUAACUUCAGGGAACAGGGGCGAAUACCGGAUAGGAUCUCCUGCUCCAUGGUGGGGGUUGGAAAGUUUCGGCGGUUUGGGAUGGUCUCGCGGCUUAUCAGCCGGUUGGUGGGGUAGUGGAUUACCAAGGCUUUGACGGGUAGCCGGCCUGAGAGGGUGACCGGCCACAUUGGGCCUGGGAUACGGCCCAGAGUCAUACGGGAGGCAGCAGCGGGGAAUAUUCCAAACAGGCGGAAGCCUGAUGCAGCGACGCCGGGUGCGUGAUGCCGGCCUUCGGGUUGUAAACCGCUUUCGCCUGUGACGAGGCGUGCGUGACGGUACUGGGUAAAGAAGCCCCGGCUAACUACGUG
This 467-nucleotide ribosomal RNA is filed under the name uncultured bacterium. RNAcentral's name for it is "partial 16S ribosomal RNA". It matches the Rfam family "Bacterial small subunit ribosomal RNA", at positions 28 to 507 of the family's 1533-position model. The record is from RNAcentral.